CAGCAGCCGCGGUAAAACGUAGGGUGCAAGCGUUAAUCGGAAUUACUGGGCGUAAAGCGUGCGCAGGCGGUUUGUUAAGACAGAUGUGAAAUCCCCGGGCUCAACCUGGGAACUGCAUUUGUGACUGGCAAGCUAGAGUGUGGCAGAGGGGGGUGGAAUUCCGCGUGUAGCAGUGAAAUGUGUAGAUAUGCGGAGGAACACCGAUGGCGAAGGCAGCCCCCUGGGCCAACACUGACGCUCAUGCACGAAAGCGUGGGGAGCAAACAGGAUUAGAUACCCCAGUAGUCCCUGUCUCUUAUAC
This 301-nucleotide ribosomal RNA is filed under the name uncultured bacterium. RNAcentral's name for it is "partial 16S ribosomal RNA". It matches the Rfam family "Bacterial small subunit ribosomal RNA", at positions 509 to 807 of the family's 1533-position model. The record is from RNAcentral.